Molecule: ribosomal RNA, 1218 nt
Filed under: Psammetichus crassicornis
Lineage: Eukaryota; Metazoa; Arthropoda; Insecta; Coleoptera; Tenebrionidae
Description: SSU rRNA
Rfam family: Eukaryotic small subunit ribosomal RNA
Source: RNAcentral
UUGUCUCAAAGAUUAAGCCAUGCAUGUCUCAGUACAAGCCAAAUUAAGGUGAAACCGCGAAAGGCUCAUUAAAUCAGUUAUGGUUCCUUAGAUCGUACCCACAUUUACUUGGAUAACUGUGGUAAUUCUAGAGCUAAUACAUGCAAACAGAGCUCCGACCGGAGACGGAAGGAGCGCUUUUAUUAGAUCAAAACCAAUCGGUGGCGGUCUCCGUCAUCGUACAACUUGGUGACUCUGAAUAACUUUACGCUGAUCGCACGGUCUCGCACCGGCGACGCAUCUUUCAAAUGUCUGCCUUAUCAACUGUCGAUGGUAGGUUCUGCGCCUACCAUGGUUGUAACGGGUAACGGGGAAUCAGGGUUCGAUUCCGGAGAGGGAGCCUGAGAAACGGCUACCACAUCCAAGGAAGGCAGCAGGCGCGCAAAUUACCCACUCCCGGCACGGGGAGGUAGUGACGAAAAAUAACGAUACGGGACUCAUCCGAGGCCCCGUAAUCGGAAUGAGUACACUCUAAACCCUUUAACGAGGAUCAAUUGGAGGGCAAGUCUGGUGCCAGCAGCCGCGGUAAUUCCAGCUCCAAUAGCGUAUAUUAAAGUUGUUGCGGUUAAAAAGCUCGUAGUCGAAUCUGUGUCCCGCGCCGCCGGUUCAUCGUUCGCGGUGUUAACUGGCGUGCCGCGGGACGUCCUGCCGGUGGGCUUAGCCCGCGAGGGCGGCCCAACUCAAUCCCGCCGCGGUGCUCUUCAUUGAGUGUCGAGGUGGGCCGGCACGUUUACUUUGAACAAAUUAGAGUGCUUAAAGCAGGCCAAAACUUCGCCUGAAUACUGUGUGCAUGGAAUAAUGGAAUAGGACCUCGGUUCUAUUUUGUUGGUUUUCGGAACCCCGAGGUAAUGAUUAAUAGGAACGGAUGGGGGCAUUCGUAUUGCGACGUUAGAGGUGAAAUUCUUGGAUCGUCGCAAGACGGACAGAAGCGAAAGCAUUUGCCAAAAACGCUUUCAUUGAUCAAGAACGAAAGUUAGAGGUUCGAAGGCGAUCAGAUACCGCCCUAGUUCUAACCAUAAACGAUGCCAGCUAGCGAUCCGCCGACGUUCCUCCGAUGACUCGGCGGGCAGCUUCCGGGAAACCAAAGCUUUUGGGUUCCGGGGGAAGUAUGGUUGCAAAGCUGAAACUUAAAGGAAUUGACGGAAGGGCACCACCAGGAGUGGAGCCUGCGGCUUAAUU